This 442-nucleotide ribosomal RNA is filed under the name uncultured bacterium. Its description in RNAcentral is "partial 16S ribosomal RNA". It matches the Rfam family "Bacterial small subunit ribosomal RNA", at positions 338 to 795 of the family's 1533-position model. The record is from RNAcentral.
CCUACGGGUGGCAGCAGUGGGGAAUAUUGGGCAAUGGACGCAAGUCUGACCCAGCAACGCCGCGUGAAGGAAGACUGCUUUCGGGUUGUAAACUUCUUUUGAUAGGGAAGAGAAGCAGACGGUACCUGUCGAAUAAGCCACGGCUAACUACGUGCCAGCAGCCGCGGUAAUACGUAGGUGGCAGGCGUUGUCCGGAUUUACUGGGUGUAAAGGGCGUGUAGCCGGGUAGACAAGUCAGAUGUGAAAGCCGGGGGCUCAACCCGCGAACUGCAUUUGAAACUGUUGGUCUUGAGUAUCGGAGAGGGAGGCGGAAUUCCUGGUGUAGCGGUGAAAUGCGUAGAUAUCAGGAAGAACACCAGUGGCGAAGGCGGCUUACUGGACGAUAACUGACGGUGAGGCGCGAAAGCGUGGGGAGCAAACAGGAUUAGAUACCCGAGUAGUC